This 853-nucleotide ribosomal RNA is filed under the name uncultured Verrucomicrobiota bacterium. RNAcentral describes it as "bacterial SSU rRNA". It matches the Rfam family "Bacterial small subunit ribosomal RNA", at positions 20 to 831 of the family's 1533-position model. The record is from RNAcentral. Lineage: Bacteria; Pseudomonadati; Verrucomicrobiota.
UGGCUCAGAACGAACGCUGGCGGCGUGGAUUAGGCAUGCAAGUCGAACGGGAUCCUGCAUCUUCAAUCCUUCGGGAAAGAAAAUGCAGGUGAGAGUGGCGGACGGGUGAGUAUCGCUUGAAUAAUCUGCCCCUAAAUCCGGGAUAGCCCACCGAAACGUGGAUUAAUACCGGGUGUGUUAAGCUUACGCAUGUAAGCUGAUAUAAAGGUGGGAUCCUUCGGGAUCCUAUCGUUUAGGGAUGAGUUUGAGUUCUAUCAGCUAGUUGGUGAGGUAACGGCUCACCAAGGCAAUGACGGAUAGCUGGUCUGAGAGGAUGAUCAGCCACACUGGGACUGAGACACUGCCCAGACUCCUACGGGAGGCUGCAGUCGAGAAUCAUUCGCAAUGCACGCAAGUGUGACGAUGCGACGCCGCGUGGAGGAAGACGGCCUUAGGGUUGUAAACUCCUGUCAUCAGUUAACAACACCCAUGUGAAUAAUACCGCAUGGUUUGAUAGUAGCUGAAGAGGAAGUCACGGCUAACUCUGUGCCAGCAGCCGCGGUAAUACAGAGGUGGCUAGCGUUGUUCGGAUUUACUGGGCUUAAAGGGUCCGCAGGCGGCAAGAUAUGUCGGAUGUGAAAUACCACGGCUUAACCGUGGAACUGCAUUCGAAACUAUCUUGCUAGAGUACAGGAGGGGAGAGGGGAAUUCUUAGUGUAGCGGUGAAAUGCGUAGAUAUUAAGAAGAACACCGGCGGCGAAGGCGCCUCUCUGGACUGAUACUGACGCUGAGGGACGAAAGCUAGGGUAGCAAGAGGGAUUAGAUAUCCCUAAUAGUCCUAGCUGUAAACGGUGUGCACUUGUUGUGGGAGGAA